UGUUAUUUGAUCGUGAAUCGCUUAUGCUAAUUUCUUUUUUUGACCCACCUACCCGCUGUACCGUACCUUAAUCUUCAUGGCGGCCGACGACGCCGAGAUCUACAAUAUUCUGGUGAGGUGACAUUUUCACACGGCGUUGGCGGUGCAUGUUUAGUUUUUUCCAAGACUAAUAGUCCGCUACAUAGGAAAAGAAGGGUGCUUAUGUUUGUCAGAGGGUAUAUGUAUGUAAAUUCUAUGCUUAAUUGUUUUAGCUCGUCUUAUUCUUUUUAGAAAUUAAACUAACUAUAUAAAUCCAUACAAAGUGUGACUUGUUUUGUUUGGUUACUGG
Long non-coding RNA from Erigeron canadensis, 328 nucleotides. RefSeq lists it as uncharacterized. The record is from RefSeq and is a predicted model, not a curated record. The transcript has 3 exons. NCBI's taxonomy places the organism in Eukaryota, Viridiplantae, Streptophyta, Magnoliopsida, Asterales, Asteraceae.